GAUGAAGAACGCAGCGAACGUGCGAAACGUAAUGUGAAUUGCAGAAUUCAGUGAAUCAUCGAAUCUUUGAACGCAUCUUGCGCUCCUUGGUAUUCCGAGGAGCAUGCCUGUUUGAGUGUCGUGAAUACUCUCAACUUCAACCCUUUUUUCGGAAAGGGAGGAAGGUUGGACUUGGGUGUUUGUUGAAGUGCGAGCUUCGACUCAUCCUAAAUGCAUUAGCGAUCUGCCUCGAUCACACACAAUGUGAUAAUUAAAACUAAAGCAUUGUUUAAUGAUCAAGUCGAGACUGCUUCUAACUGUCGCAAGACAAUAACGUGCAUACAUUUGUGCAUGUCAUUUGACCUCAAAUCAGGUAGGACUACCCGCUGAACUUAAGCAUAUCAAUAAGUGGAGGA
RNAcentral lists this unclassified non-coding RNA (395 nucleotides) under soil metagenome. RNAcentral's name for it is "partial contains 5.8S ribosomal RNA, internal transcribed spacer 2, and large subunit ribosomal RNA". The stretch from base 1 to 121 matches the Rfam family "5.8S ribosomal RNA", at positions 35 to 154 of the family's 154-position model. The record is from RNAcentral.